RNAcentral lists this ribosomal RNA (491 nucleotides) under uncultured bacterium. RNAcentral describes it as "bacterial SSU rRNA". It matches the Rfam family "Bacterial small subunit ribosomal RNA", at positions 18 to 507 of the family's 1533-position model. The record is from RNAcentral.
CCUGGCUCAGGAUGAACGCUGGCGGCGUGCUUAACACAUGCAAGUCGAACGAAGCACUUAUUCACGAUCCCUUCGGGGUGACGAAUCUGUGACUGAGUGGCGGACGGGUGAGUAACGCGUGGGUAACCUGCCUCAGUACAGGGGGAUAACAGUUGGAAACGACUGCUAAUACCGCAUAAGCGCACAGUACCGCAUGGUACAGUGUGAAAAACUCCGGUGGUAUGAGAUGGGCCUGCGUCUGAUUAGCUAGUUGGUGGGGUAACGGCCCACCAAGUCGACGAUCAGUAGCCGGACUGAGAGGUUGAACGGCCACAUUGGGACUGAGACACGGCCCAGACUCCUACGGGAGGCAGCAGUGGGGAAUAUUGCACAAUGGGCGCAAGCCUGAUGCAGCGAUGCCGCGUGAGGGAAGAAGGUUUUCGGAUUGUAAACCUCUGUCAUCGGGGACGAUAAUGACGGUACCCGAGAAGGAAGCUCCGGCUAACUACGUG